This 717-nucleotide small RNA is filed under the name Arabidopsis thaliana (thale cress). RNAcentral describes it as "putative long intergenic non-coding RNA". The record is from RNAcentral. Lineage: Eukaryota; Viridiplantae; Streptophyta; Magnoliopsida; Brassicales; Brassicaceae.
UUCCCAUAAACUACUUUUUUCUACUUUAAUUUCUCGAUCUUACAACGGUCCAAGGCUAGAAAUAAGGGGACUAAUCAGAUUGGUUCAGUGUUCAAUCCAAGCGAUUUUCAACUGGUGAGAGACUAUCUUCGAAAUAAGGUUGAAAAGGGGCAAAACAGCUCCAUAAGAGAUUGUACCAAGUCGAGUUGUGGCUUCUUCAACACGUAACACCACAUCCUUUCUUCAAGUUUUAGAGAGUGGUUCUAUUUUAUUCCGAGUAGACAAGGAUGGGACGAAUAGACCGCAAGAUCGCAAAGUACCCGCAAUAAACGGAGAGAGCGAAGGCGGCACUUGGAGACCCAUUGAUUGGAAAUUUCCGAUCGUUGACGAAGCCGAGAUGUUGAUAGGUUACAGGGAGAGUUUCGUGUACCGCAAGAAACAGAAUUGUAAUUCCUAUGGAAGUAUACUUGGUUCAUGACUCAGUAUUAUUCCCUUUGCGAUGAUCACAGCUUUGUCUUGUGCAGGAUCCGACACCAGAGAAGAUAGAUGGAAGAUGGUGUUUUCUUAAGGUUUAGCUGAUGCAUUUGAUACGCUUGUGAUUGGUUUUCUUUUCAUAGUAAGAUUGGUUUUUCCUCUUAGAUUCAGUAAUGUUAGGACCACAUAUUUUAUUGUCCAUUGCCAGUUUAACUUAUGGAAUUAAUUAAAACUCCAACUCUCGAUGGUUGGAUUCAUUUAAUU